CCUACGGGAGGCUGCAGUGAGGAAUAUUGGUCAAUGGACGAGAGUCUGAACCAGCCAAGUAGCGUGAAGGAUGACUGCCCUAUGGGUUGUAAACUUCUUUUAUAUGGGAAUAAAAUGUUCCACGUGUGGGAUUUUGUAUGUACCAUAUGAAUAAGGAUCGGCUAACUCCGUGCCAGCAGCCGCGGUAAUACGGAGGAUCCGAGCGUUAUCCGGAUUUAUUGGGUUUAAAGGGAGCGUAGGUGGAUUGUUAAGUCAGUUGUGAAAGUUUGCGGCUCAACCGUAAAAUUGCAGUUGAAACUGGCAGUCUUGAGUGCAGUAGAGGUGGGCGGAAUUCGUGGUGUAGCGGUGAAAUGCUUAGAUAUCACGAAGAACUCCGAUUGCGAAGGCAGUUCACUGGACUGCAACUGACACUGAGGCUCGAAAGUGUGGGUAUCAAACAGGAUUAGAUACCCUUGUAGUC
This 460-nucleotide ribosomal RNA is filed under the name uncultured bacterium. RNAcentral describes it as "partial 16S ribosomal RNA". It matches the Rfam family "Bacterial small subunit ribosomal RNA", at positions 338 to 795 of the family's 1533-position model. The record is from RNAcentral.